AAGUCGUAACAAGGUAACCGUAGGUGAACCUGCGGUUGGAUCAUUACUGAUACUUGGCCUUGAGUUGAUACCGAAAGGAGUCCUCAUAGCCAAAUUCACCUCUUGUGCACUAAAUUGUCUUUUGGUAGUUUAUACCUUGGUAUAGGCUGCCAAACUUUUUAACAAACCAUAUCAACUUGUCUGAAAUUAUAUAUAAAUAUAAACAACUUUUGACAACGGAUCUCUUGGCUCUCGCAACGAUGAAGAACGCAGCGAAAUGCGAUACGUAAUGUGAAUUGCUUUCCGUGAAUCAUCGAAUCUUUGAACGCACAUUGCACUCCUCUGGAGUAUGCCUGUUUGAGAAUCUAUAGUAUUUAUUCCUCUUGAUUUCAUUCGUGAUUGAUAGAGGAGAUAUGAAGCUCCCAUUCUUUGACUGGGUUCUUUUAAAUAGAUUGCUACUAGUAAUACGAAAAUGCUUGACAUUUCUCUAUAUCUCUUAGAAAAGUAUGUGUAUGAAACUGUGGUUUCUCAUAAUGCCUAUUACAUUAGAGGGGAUUUGGAGUUUUCAUAUGAACAGUUUAGUCCAUACCUAUGAAGGCGAAAGCCUUGAACCAUGGUCUCAAAUCAGGUAGGAAGACCCGCUGAACUUAAGCAUAUCAAUAAGCGGAGGAAAAGAAACUAACAAGGAUUCCCCUAGUAACGGCGAGUGAAGCGGGAAUAGCUCAAAUUUGAAAUCUCCUUCGGGCGAAUUGUAGUUUAGAGAAACGUUUUCUGUUGGACGGUAGGUACAAGUUCUUUGGAACAAGACAUCAUAGAGGGUGAAAAUCCCGUCUUUGACCUAUCGAAAGGCUUUGUGAUACGUUUUCCAAGAGUCGGUUUGUUUGGGAAUGCAGACCAAAAUGGGUGGUAAAUACCAUCUAAAGCUAAAUAUUGGCGAGAGACCGAUAGCGAACAAGUACCGUGAGGGAAAGAUGAAAAGAACUUUGAAAAGAGAGUUAAACAGUACGUGAAAUUGUCAAAAGGGAAACGUUUGAAACCAGUAUUGCUUGCAAGAAUUCAGCUUUUAUUUAUAGGAGUGUAUUUUCUUACGGCGAGUCAACAUCAGUUUGGCUUGGAGCAAAAAGCUAUGGAAAUGUAGCCUUCGGGUGUUAUAGUCCAUGGUCAUACUCUAGGCUAGACUGAGGACUGCAGCGUUUUUGGCUUCGGCACACCAACGCUUAGGAUGUUGACGAAAUGGUUUUAAGCGACC
Molecule: ribosomal RNA, 1228 nt
Filed under: uncultured fungus
Lineage: Eukaryota; Fungi
Description: eukaryotic LSU rRNA
Rfam family: Eukaryotic large subunit ribosomal RNA (bases 594-1228)
Source: RNAcentral